RNAcentral lists this ribosomal RNA (305 nucleotides) under uncultured bacterium. RNAcentral's name for it is "bacterial SSU rRNA". It matches the Rfam family "Bacterial small subunit ribosomal RNA", at positions 334 to 655 of the family's 1533-position model. The record is from RNAcentral.
AUGUCCUACGGGACGCAGCAGUGGGGAAUAUUGCACAAUGGGGGAAACCCUGAUGCAGCGACGCCGCGUGAGUGAAGAAGUACUUCGGUAUGUAAAGCUCUAUCAGCAGGAACGAGACAAGACGGUACCUGACUAAGAAGCCCCGGCUAACUACGUGCCAGCAGCCGCGGUAAUACGUAGGGGGCAAGCGUUAUCCGGAAUCACUGGGUGUAAAGGGAGCGUAGACGGCUGAGCAAGCCUGAAGUGAAAGGCAGGGGCCCAACCCCUGGACUGCUUUGGGACCUGCACGGCUGGAGGGCAGGAGG